CUCCUAUCCAAUUCUGCUGAAUGGUAUACAGAUAAGACGUUUGAUAAAUAAUUCCCUGAGAAACCAUAAACUGCUGAAAUUGAAAUGACAAGUACGCUAAGGCAUUAUCACCACGAAAGAUGCAAUAAGAAACACCAAACCCAUUUUUUAUUUAAGCACAAAAACUCUGGAUAUAGGAAAAAACCCGGAACGAUCUUUC
Molecule: long non-coding RNA, 199 nt
Filed under: Nicotiana benthamiana
Lineage: Eukaryota; Viridiplantae; Streptophyta; Magnoliopsida; Solanales; Solanaceae
Description: long non-coding RNA (NBEN_LNC010464)
Source: RNAcentral